Molecule: unclassified non-coding RNA, 89 nt
Filed under: Pseudomonas vancouverensis
Lineage: Bacteria; Pseudomonadati; Pseudomonadota; Gammaproteobacteria; Pseudomonadales; Pseudomonadaceae
Source: RNAcentral
UGUGGGAGCGAGCUUGCUCGCGAUGACGGCGGUACAUUCAGUAUUUUGCUGUCUGACACACCGCUAUCGCGAGCAAGCUCGCUCCCACA